UACGUAGGUGGCAAGCGUUGUCCGGAAUUAUUGGGCGUAAAGCGCGCGCAGGUGGUUUCUUAAGUCUGAUGUGAAAGCCCCCGGCUCAACCGUGGAGGGUCAUUGGAAACUGGGGAACUUGAGUGCAGAAGAGGAAAGUGGAAUUCCAAGUGUAGCGGUGAAAUGCGUAGAGAUUUGGAGGAACACCAGUGGCGAAGGCGACUUUCUGGUCUGUAACUGACACUGAGGCGCGAAAGCGUGGGGAGCAAACAGG
RNAcentral lists this ribosomal RNA (253 nucleotides) under uncultured bacterium. Its description in RNAcentral is "partial 16S ribosomal RNA". It matches the Rfam family "Bacterial small subunit ribosomal RNA", at positions 524 to 776 of the family's 1533-position model. The record is from RNAcentral.